GCUCAAGCACAACAAAGACCCUCUGUCCGCCAGAAGAUUACGAGCGAAAGCCUAAAACUCAAAAGACUUGACGGUGCCCCAACCUUCCUAGAGGAGCCUGUUCCAUAAUCGACAACCCACGAUACACCUAACCGCCCAUAGAAUAUUCAGCCUAUAUACCGCCGUCGCACAGCCUACCUUUUUAAAGCACAUAAGUAGGCCAAAUAGUAUUAUACUAAUAAGUCAGGUCAAGGUGUAGCACAUGGGGCGGAGGAAAUGGGCUACAUUAUUUAUUAUAAAUCACACGAACUCGGCCUAUGAAAUAACCAUGAAGGCGGAUUUAGCAGUAAUUUAAACAAGAAUAUUUAAAUUAACACCAGCUCUGGGGCAUGUACACA
Molecule: ribosomal RNA, 377 nt
Filed under: Riama sp.
Lineage: Eukaryota; Metazoa; Chordata; Lepidosauria; Squamata; Gymnophthalmidae
Description: partial 12S ribosomal RNA
Rfam family: Bacterial small subunit ribosomal RNA
Source: RNAcentral